UAAAAUUUUCAGUAACAGAUGCAAGUUUUUCAGCAAGGUCUCCACCAAUGUCUCUUAAUUUAACAAAGAAUCUGUUAACAGAAUACAUCCGAUUAAGAUCUUCAAAAGCAAUGUCGGUGCUCGGUUCUUUGCCAUUAACAAUAUUAGAAAAAAGGACAAGAAAGGGAGUAAAUGGACAGUACAAGAAUACCCAUAAAUAGCAAACAUUCUUCGCAAUAGG
Molecule: non-coding RNA, 220 nt
Organism: Schizosaccharomyces pombe (fission yeast)
Lineage: Eukaryota; Fungi; Ascomycota; Schizosaccharomycetes; Schizosaccharomycetales; Schizosaccharomycetaceae
Source: the annotation of a GenBank genome assembly